Molecule: long non-coding RNA, 1976 nt
Filed under: Callithrix jacchus (white-tufted-ear marmoset)
Lineage: Eukaryota; Metazoa; Chordata; Mammalia; Primates; Cebidae
Description: lncRNA (ENSCJAG00000074155.1)
Source: RNAcentral
CUCAUAUUCUCUACCUCAGGGCUCCGCCCCGUGAGAGCAGGAACCAAGGCUGAAUUUGUCUUUGUUGCUGCAGCACAGAAAUAAUUGAUGGAAAGUGCUUAGCACAGUGUCUGGCUCCCAGUGAAGAUGCCCUUGGCUGCUACAGCUUUGUGGAAACUUUACCCUAAAUAACUGCAACCACACAGAAUGUGUUGUGCUUUUUUGCAGAGACAGAGUCUCGCUCUGUCACCCAGGCUGGAACACAGUGGCACAAUCUCAGCUCACUGCAGCCUCGACCUCCCAGGCUCAAGUGAUAACUUUCUACCUCAACCUCCCAAGUAGCUAGGACCACAGGUGCUAGGACUACAGGCAGGUGCCACCACAUCUGGCUAGUUUUUAAUUAAAAAAAAAAUUAUAUAAAUGGGUCUCACUGUGUUUCCCAGGCUGGUCUCCAACUCCUAAGCUCAAACAGUUCUCCCACCUCAGCCUCUCAAAGGGCUGGGACACAGCACUUUGGGAGGCUGAGGCGGGCAGAUCACAAGGUCAAGAGAUCGAGACCAUCCUGGCCAAAAUGGUGAAACCCGUCUCUACUAAAAAUACAAAAAUUAGCUGGGCGUGGUGGUGCGUGCCUGUAGUCCCAGCUACUCGGGAGGCUGAGGCAGGAGAAUUGCUUGAACCUGGGAGGCGGAGGUUGCAGUGAGAGGAGAUUGCACCACUGCACUCCAGCCUGGUGCCUGGCAAUGGAAUGAGACUGUCUCAAAAAAAAAAAAGUGCUGGGAUUACAGGUGUGAGCCACCAUGCCCAGCCAGAAUGUAUUAUCUCACCCAAGAAGAGGGCUUCAGGCAGGGCGCGCCAGGUUUGGAUAAUUCAGAGCUCAACAGCUUCCAGGUUCUUCCUACUCUGCCAUCCUCAGAAUAUAAGCUGCCUUCUCAGGUGGAUCUCCUCAUGGUGAAAGAAUGGCUGCCACAGACUCAGACCUCAAGCCCACAGCGAGACACGACAACAUCUGUAGCUGUCUCAGAGAGUCACGAGGGCCAAAGGAGAUAUCCAGGCACAUGCUCAGCACAGCAUCCGAGAGCAGAAAGGGCUGAUAAAUGGAAGCGCCUGGCUCUUGGAGAGAGGCCGCCACUUGGUGAAGUAGAAGUACGUAGGAUAAAGGGGACUGAACUCUACCCGCAACUCUAGCACUGCCUGUGAGUCCCGUGUGAAGGCUGUGAGCCACAUCACCCAAAUUAAAAAGAGUGAAAUAGAAUUAAUCACAAGAAUAUGGAAAACUCCAGAACAGAUUUUUCUCUGGCGCCUGGAGCCUAACAUUCAAUAGCCUACUGAGCCGCUCAGUUAGACCCCUCCUGGGGUCCAUCAAGUCAAGAAACCCAAAUGGACCCUCUUCCACACAAACCCCACCCACGCCUCCUGCAUUUCCUGGCUCAAGAGUAGCACUGGUCCCCAGAAAGCUAGAAACCAUAAUCUUUAACCCUAUUAUGUAGUUGGAGUUAUUAUUGCCGUUUUACAGACAGGGAGACUGAAGCCCAGACAUAUUAUCAACCUUGCAAGUUAGUGGUAGAAUCAGACUCUACCCCACAGACCCUGCUGCCUUCAUCAACCCACAAAGCCACUUGACUUACCUCCUCAAAUCUGUGCACUUUUCUCCAACCCCAUGGCCAACACACGACACUGGCCCCCACCACAGUCCCCUUACCGGCACUCUUGGUGGCUCAGUUCUACAGCGUGACAAAGGCAGUCACUCCUGAAAGCUCAACCUCGAGUCUGUUUCUUCAGCCUUCACAGUGAUUUUGCAAGCCAUUCAACCCCACCACAAGCCCUCUCCUGUUUAGAACACUAGAGCAUUUCUCUUCUCAGUUGAAUCUUAACUGAUACCACUAGCUCAGAGCUAGGUGCACUGAGUUCUGAAUAAAUACUUAGGUCCAUGGAAAAGCACAAGUUUGGUGCCCAUUUUCCAGGUGCUCUCUUACGUGCUCAGGGUCAUGCACAGGGUC